RNAcentral lists this ribosomal RNA (400 nucleotides) under uncultured bacterium. Its description in RNAcentral is "bacterial SSU rRNA". It matches the Rfam family "Bacterial small subunit ribosomal RNA", at positions 358 to 774 of the family's 1533-position model. The record is from RNAcentral.
GGGAUAUUGCGCAAUGGGGGAAACCCUGACGCAGCAACGCCGCGUGGAGGAUGACGGUUUUCGGAUUGUAAACUCCUUUUGUCAGGGACGAAAUAUGACGGUACCUGACGAAUAAGCUCCGGCUAACUACGUGCCAGCAGCCGCGGUAAUACGUAGGGAGCAAGCGUUAUCCGGAUUUACUGGGUGUAAAGGGUGCGUAGGCGGCUCUGCAAGUCAGAUGUGAAAUUUAGAGGCUCAACUUCUAAACUGCAUUUGAAGCUGUGGAGCUUGAGUGAAGUAGAGGCAGGCGGAAUUCCCUGUUUAGCGGUGAAAUGCGUAGAGAUAGGGAGGAACACCAGUGGCGAAGGCGGCCUGCUGGGCUUUAACUGACGCUGAGGCACGAAAGCGUGGGUAGCAAACA